CCUGACCAGGGGUCGAACCCUCACCCUGCAUUGGAAGGUGAAGCCUUAACCACUAGACUGCCGGGAGGUCCCCAUACCUCUCUAUUUCUUGUUCCUUUUCAUCAUUUGGAUAUAUUUCUUGCCUUCUAGAACCAUUUAUCAGACGCUAGAUCUCCUAGUACCUAAGUGCUUUUACGGUAGUAGGUUAGACGAUGUGUCUCUAAUUAUAUGCUUUACUGUUAACAAUGAAAAUACAUUAUUAACCCAGCUAAAGUCACAAAUAAAGCCUUGUUAAAUAUGAUGAUUGAGUAUAAUUAUGUAAAACAAAAGGGUUUAAAAUUCACUAUGUGUUGAAGAGUCAGAAGUAUAAUAAGAAAUUUAAAAUGAUUGAAAUCUAAACACCUUUAGAAUGAGUCCUUCUGCCAGAGUCUGUAGUGCAUUUACUGUGGUGAACUCCUAGCAAAAGAAUCACGGGGGUGCUCUUCACACACGGGGAGAGUCUGUGGACCAUAUGUCACAUUCUCUAAGGAGCAGAACGCUUCCUGAAUGUUGAAUUGUGAAUAAUCCAGCACUUUAGCUCAUAAUCAUUGUUAUACAAACCACCCCUCUUUUACUGGAUUCGACUUUAGUUGCCAUCUACAAUGCGAGAUGCCGACAAAUGGAAAAGGUAAGUCUAUCAUGUUUGGUGACAAAUGGUCCACUUCGAGGCCAUAUUAUUAAAAAUAACCAACACAGAUUUCUUUCGGAGGUUCGAUGACUUUGGAGUUGAUGGUGCCAGUAUUGUCAGUAUGCCAAUUAUAGUUUACUGGAGUGGUUUGAAUAACUUUCUUUUUAAUUUAAUUGAUUUUAGCAUGAGAUUUUAUCAAUAUCAUUCAAUUCCUUAAGUUUUCAUCAUCUUUUUUUAAGAAUACUAAUUUUUUCAAGCCACUUUUAGUUGGGCUGAACUAUUUAUAUAUCUGUUACCUAUCAAACCACCUUUGUAAUUUGAUAACUAAUAUUUUAAAAUGUUUAAAAAUAUUUAUGAAAUGUAUUAUACAGUAACAUUUCAGCAUCUGUGUUAAUGAGAAGCUUUCUUUAUGAAAUCAUGAGUUUGCUAGAUCAUCAUCUCUGUGAGGUUGGAAUUGGAUGUGUUUUUACACGAUAAUAGCUGACACUUUCACAAUGCUUGUGAUAUGGAAUAACUCUUUUAAUUCUCACCAUAACUCCAGGAUGUAGGUCCUAUUGUUAGUCUCAUUUUACAGAUGGAUAAAAUAAGACAUAGUGAGAUUAGGGACUUGCCCAAGGUCACACAGCUAUUAAGUGGUGAAACCAGACUUUGAUCACAGGCAUUCUCUUAACCAUGUGUUCUUAACCACUAUGCUUUUAAAGAUGUUCUUAAACACUGUGCUUGUCUUACCAUAUCACAUAAUUUAUUGUCCAAACUGGGAUACUUACGAGAUUGAGAUAAUAAUGAUAACCAAACAGUAGGAAUAAGCUGGGGUUGUCCUGGGCCAGCUGGAAUGUAUGGUUGGCUUAGCUCUGCUGCCUCUCACUAAAUAAAUGUUUGUUGAAUGAAUAAAUGGAUAGAUGGAUAGAUGGAUGGAUAACCGAAGAGUUCAUAUCAUUUCAUCCACAUGGGUAAGCUGCUGUAUGGAAACUUUAAUUUCAAAUAAUGAGCUUCAAAUCUGACCUCAUGAGGUAAUGUGGUCUCAUGGAGGUGAAUACUGAUUCUCAGAGAUAAUCAAAGAAGGAAGAAAAAUAUCAGGAAAAGGACUUAUUCCUUUUAUAAUAAUCUUCUACCAACUGAUCAAUGGAGCAUUAAUUCUGGUUCAAAGGAGCCUAAGGGAGGAGCAUUUAACGUAGUGAUCAGAUGGUCAGUGCUGCAAUAGUAUCAACAGAUGGAGUGAGGAAUUGGGGAAACUGCCAAAACAUCGAACACAAAGUGAAUUGGAGCCCACACGGAGAUGAGUCAGUGGCAGUCCUCCAGCUCUAGAUCCAGCAGGCUCCAGCAGCAUGGCCGAGGUCAGUUACUGACUUCUAUUCAAGUUAUGGCAUCUCCAUAUGUCAACCUAUGACCUCCACUUACAACUGUUAGCUAUAAGAUGCCAAUGCUUCACCUCCAGUUUCUUCUGGAUCUCCUCCAGGGACAGAUCUUUCUUCUUGGGAGAAGCUAAAGUUCGUGGGGCUUCUGAGAUAGGAGAUGGUGGCUUUAAGAUCAGCUCAAAAG
Molecule: long non-coding RNA, 2185 nt
Organism: Aethalodelphis obliquidens (Pacific white-sided dolphin)
Lineage: Eukaryota; Metazoa; Chordata; Mammalia; Artiodactyla; Delphinidae
Exons: 3
Source: RefSeq, a predicted model, not a curated record